AGGACAACUGAAAAGCAAUGUGGUCCAUUCCCUGUUAUAUAAACACGUGUGUUGCACUGCAGAAGCAGAAAGAAAGCAGCAAGUGUUUCUGCCCGGAAUCACAUGAGGCAAGACUCAACAGAAGAUGGAACAUUUAAGCAGGCCUUGAGGCCAACAGCUGCCCAUUGUCACUGGUUCUACCUUUAGCAGCAUCUCUCUCCUCUCCUGAUAUCCUACAAGCCUGGAAACCUGGGACUGUUCAGAGCCCCGAGAGCUAGAAUAAGUGUGCCAUGUAAUGUGGAUGGACUGGCCGCCUUAAGCAGGGCUGCACAGGAGGAAAUCUGUCUCCUCCCCGCUC
RNAcentral lists this long non-coding RNA (337 nucleotides) under Homo sapiens (human). RNAcentral describes it as "HSALNT0393340". The record is from RNAcentral. Lineage: Eukaryota; Metazoa; Chordata; Mammalia; Primates; Hominidae.